GGCUCCGUGGCUUAAUGGUUACGGCUUCUGCCUCACAAGCAGAAGGUUCAGGGAUCAAAUCUCGGCCGGUACCU
Non-coding RNA from Culex pipiens (northern house mosquito), 74 nucleotides. NCBI's taxonomy places the organism in Eukaryota, Metazoa, Arthropoda, Insecta, Diptera, Culicidae. The record is from Rfam.